This 492-nucleotide ribosomal RNA is filed under the name uncultured microorganism. Its description in RNAcentral is "bacterial SSU rRNA". It matches the Rfam family "Bacterial small subunit ribosomal RNA", at positions 9 to 521 of the family's 1533-position model. The record is from RNAcentral.
GAGUUUGAUCUUGGCUCAGAACGAACGCUGGCGGCGUGGAUAAGACAUGCAAGUCGAACGGGAGAAUUGCUAGCUUGCUAAUAAUUCUCUAGCGGCGUACGGGUGAGUAACACGUGAGUAACCUGCCCCCGAGAGCGGGAUAGCCCUGGGAAACUGGGAUUAAUACCGCAUAGUAUCGAAAGAUUAAAGCAGCAAUGCGCUUGGGGAUGGGCUCGCGGCCUAUUAGUUAGUUGGUGAGGUAACGGCUCACCAAGGCGAUGACGGGUAGCCGGUCUGAGAGGAUGUCCGGCCACACUGGAACUGAGACACGGUCCAGACACCUACGGGUGGCAGCAGUCGAGAAUCAUUCACAAUGGGGGAAACCCUGAUGGUGCGACGCCGCGUGGGGGAAUGAAGGUCUUCGGAUUGUAAACCCCUGUCAUGUGGGAGCAAAUUAAAAAGAUAGUACCACAAGAGGAAGAGACGGCUAACUCUGUGCCAGCCGCCGGCAGU